This 52-nucleotide microRNA precursor is filed under the name Nematostella vectensis (starlet sea anemone). RNAcentral describes it as "Nve-Mir-2030_pre stem-loop". The record is from RNAcentral. Lineage: Eukaryota; Metazoa; Cnidaria; Anthozoa; Actiniaria; Edwardsiidae.
UAGCAUAACAUUGUAAGAGAUUGUAAGAACCUCUUUACAUUGUUGUGCUGUA